Molecule: ribosomal RNA, 494 nt
Filed under: uncultured bacterium
Lineage: Bacteria
Description: partial 16S ribosomal RNA
Rfam family: Bacterial small subunit ribosomal RNA
Source: RNAcentral
GACGAACGCUGGCGGCGUGCUUAACACAUGCAAGUCGAACGGAAAGGCCUGCUUUCCCUUGUGGAUUGCGGGUACUCGAGUGGCGAACGGGUGAGUAACACGUGAGUGAUCUGCCCCCAACUUGGGUAUAAGCCUGGGAAACUGGGUCUAAUUCCCGAUAGGACUGCAGGGUGGUGCCUGUGGUGGAAAACGAUUUUCUAGUGGUUGGGGAUGAGCUCGCGGCCUAUCAGCUUGUUGGUGGGGUAAUGGCCUACCAAGGCGGCGACGGGUAGCCGGCCUGAGAGGGUGGACGGCCACAUUGGGACUGAGAUACGGCCCAGACUCCUACGGGAGGCAGCAGUGGGGAAUAGGGCACAAUGGGCGGAAGCCUGAUGCAGCGACGCCGCGUGGGGGAUGACGGCCUUCGGGUUGUAAACUCCUUUCGACCGCGAGGAAGCCACCUGGUUGGAAGGGUGGUGACGGUAGUGGUAGAAGAAGCACCGGCUAACUACGUG